Molecule: transfer RNA, 71 nt
Filed under: Dremomys rufigenis laomache
Lineage: Eukaryota; Metazoa; Chordata; Mammalia; Rodentia; Sciuridae
Description: tRNA-Gly
Rfam family: tRNA
About the family: Transfer RNA (tRNA) molecules are approximately 80 nucleotides in length. Their secondary structure includes four short double-helical elements and three loops (D, anti-codon, and T loops). Further hydrogen bonds mediate the characteristic L-shaped molecular structure. tRNAs have two regions of fundamental functional importance: the anti-codon, which is responsible for specific mRNA codon recognition, and the 3' end, to which the tRNAs corresponding amino acid is attached (by aminoacyl-tRNA synthetases). tRNAs cope with the degeneracy of the genetic code in two manners: having more than one tRNA (with a specific anti-codon) for a particular amino acid; and 'wobble' base-pairing, i.e. permitting non-standard base-pairing at the 3rd anti-codon position.
Source: RNAcentral
ACUCUCUUAGUAUAAUCAAAGUACAACUGACUUCCAAUUAGUUGGCCCUAGUAUAAGCCUGGGAGAGAGUA